CGUAGGGUGCAAGCGUUAUCCGGAUUCACUGGGCGUAAAGUGUCGUGUAGGCGGUAUACCGCAUCGUAUCUGAAAGCCCGAGGCUUAACCUCGGCGUUGGAUACGAGAUGGGUAAACUAUGAGGGUUGGAGAGGAAAGGGAACUCGUGGUGAAGCAGUGAAAUGCGUUGAUAUCACGAGGAACACCGAAGGCGAAGGCACCUUUCUGGCCAACUUCUGACGCUGAGACACGAAAGCUAGGGGAGCGAAGCAGAUUAGAGACCUGCGUAGUCCUAGCCCUAAACGCAUGUCUGCUAGAUGGGCCCCCGCAAGGGAGCCUGUCGUAAGCUAACGCGUUAAGCAGACCGCCUGGGGAGUACGAGCGCAAGCUUA
RNAcentral lists this ribosomal RNA (371 nucleotides) under uncultured organism. Its description in RNAcentral is "bacterial SSU rRNA". It matches the Rfam family "Bacterial small subunit ribosomal RNA", at positions 526 to 896 of the family's 1533-position model. The record is from RNAcentral.